UACAGAGGUCUCAAGCGUUGUUCGGAUUCAUUGGGCGUAAAGGGUGCGUAGGUGGCGUGGUAAGUCGGAUGUGAAAUCCCGGGGCUCAACCCCGGAACUGCAUUCGAUACUGCCAUGCUAGAGUACUGGAGAGGAGAUUGGAAUUUACGGUGUAGCAGUGAAAUGCGUAGAUAUCGUAAGGAAGACCAGUGGCGAAGGCGGCUCUCUGGGGUAUUUCUGACGCUGAGGCACGAAAGCCAGGGGAGCGAACGGG
Molecule: ribosomal RNA, 253 nt
Filed under: uncultured bacterium
Lineage: Bacteria
Description: partial 16S ribosomal RNA
Rfam family: Bacterial small subunit ribosomal RNA
Source: RNAcentral